GACAGAGGGUGCAAACGUUGUUCGGAAUUACUGGGCGUAAAGCGCGUGUAGGCGGCCCUGCAAGUCGGAUGUGAAAUCCCUCGGCUCAACCGAGGACGUGCACCCGAAACUGGCGGGCUCGAGUAUGGAAGAGGGUCGCGGAAUUCCCGGUGUAGAGGUGAAAUUCGUAGAUAUCGGGAGGAACACCAGUGGCGAAGGCGGCGACCUGGGCCAAUACUGACGCUGAGGUGCGAAAGCGUGGGGAGCAAACAGG
This 253-nucleotide ribosomal RNA is filed under the name uncultured bacterium. Its description in RNAcentral is "partial 16S ribosomal RNA". It matches the Rfam family "Bacterial small subunit ribosomal RNA", at positions 524 to 776 of the family's 1533-position model. The record is from RNAcentral.